GAUGAAGAACGUAGCGAAAUGCGAUACGUAAUGUGAAUUGCAGAAUUCAGUGAAUCAACGAAUCUUUGAACGCAUAUUGCGCUCUCUGGUAUUCCGGAGAGCAUGCUUGUUUGAGUAUCAGUAAACACCUCAACUUCCAUAUCUUUUUUGAAAUGGGAGUUGGACUUGAGUGAUCCCAACGCUUUUCCUCACCGAAAAGUGGCGGGUUACUUGAAAUGCAGGUGCAGCUGGACUUUUCUCUGAGCUAUAAGCAUAUCUAUUUAGUCUGCCUAAAAAACAGAUUAUUACCUUUGCUGCAGCUAACAUAAAGGAGAUUAGUUCUUGUGCUGACUGAUGCAGGAUUCACAAAGACAGGCUUCGGCCGACUUUGUAAACUCGAUCUCAAAUCAAGUAAGACUACCCGCUGAACUUAAGCAUAUCAAUAAGCGGAGGA
RNAcentral lists this unclassified non-coding RNA (433 nucleotides) under soil metagenome. RNAcentral describes it as "partial contains 5.8S ribosomal RNA, internal transcribed spacer 2, and large subunit ribosomal RNA". The stretch from base 1 to 120 matches the Rfam family "5.8S ribosomal RNA", at positions 35 to 154 of the family's 154-position model. The record is from RNAcentral.